Heterocephalus glaber (naked mole-rat) is the source of this 618-nucleotide long non-coding RNA. Lineage: Eukaryota; Metazoa; Chordata; Mammalia; Rodentia; Bathyergidae. The record is from Ensembl.
CUUGAUAGAGAAUGGUAUCCUACAUUAGAGAGUAGAUGGUCUAUAAUCUUCCUGGCAUUGUAAAACUGAAGCUAGCUGCAGGGAAAAUAAACAUUAUAAUACCCGGCACUUAAACAAUUGCACCUAUACGGUUAAGUAACAAAAGCGUGAGGCACCUGAAAUCACAGCAUUUGUUCCUAAUGCCAGCAACAAUAUAACGCAUUCAAGUGACAUUUGAUAAUGAGCAGACAGUGGAGGCAUUACACACGUCUUUAGAAGAAUCAGACUUCCUACCUUGAAAAGACAGAUGGAGAUGAGAUUUUCCUAUGUCAUCCAGGCUGGCUUUGAACUCUUGAAUUCUUGGACUCAACGAAUCCUUGUGCCUCAGACUUCCAAAUAGCAGCUGGUACUACAGAUUGGAACACUGUCAAUAGGUGACAGGGAGCCUGCAAAAUCAUUAGCUGCACGACAGGGACAGAGUAAAUUCAAUAUAAUUACUACCAGCAUAAUUUCAACUGAUUUCUAUGAAGAAGAUUUCACAGUCACCUGAAGUCAAAGCCUGGAGCUGUCAUUAUGGAAAGCCCCCAAAAGGAGCUUGGAAAAUCUUGGGCAGAUUUCUUAAAUCUUAUGAAAAAAGAA